RNAcentral lists this ribosomal RNA (460 nucleotides) under uncultured bacterium. RNAcentral's name for it is "partial 16S ribosomal RNA". It matches the Rfam family "Bacterial small subunit ribosomal RNA", at positions 338 to 795 of the family's 1533-position model. The record is from RNAcentral.
CCUACGGGAGGCUGCAGUGAGGAAUAUUGGUCAAUGGGCGCGAGCCUGAACCAGCCAAGCAGCGUGAAGGAUGACUGCCCUACGGGUUGUAAACUUCUUUUAUAAAGGAAUAAAGUGAGGCACGCGUUCCCUUUUGUAUGUACUUUAUGAAUAAGCAUCGGCUAACUCCGUGCCAGCAGCCGCGGUAAUACGGAGGAUCCGAGCGUUAUCCGGAAUUAUUGGGUUUAAAGGGAGCGUAGAAUGGUUGUUAAGUCAGUUGUGAAAGUUUGCGGCUCAACCGUAAAAGUGCAAUUGAUACUGGCAGGCUUGAGUACAGUUGAGGUAGGCGGAAUUCGUGGUGUAGCGGUGAAAUGCGUAGAUAUCACGAAGAACUCCGAUUGCGAAGGUAGCUUACUAAACUGCCACUGACAUUGAUGCUCGAAAGUGUGGGUAUCAAACAGGAUUAGAUACCCCAGUAGUC